This 478-nucleotide ribosomal RNA is filed under the name uncultured bacterium. RNAcentral's name for it is "partial 16S ribosomal RNA". It matches the Rfam family "Bacterial small subunit ribosomal RNA", at positions 28 to 523 of the family's 1533-position model. The record is from RNAcentral.
GACGAACGCUGGCGGCGUGCUUAACACAUGCAAGUCGAACGGUAAGGCCCUUCGGGGUACACGAGUGGCGAACGGGUGAGUAACACGUGGGUGAUCUGCCCUGCACUCCGGGAUAAGCCUGGGAAACUGGGUCUAAUACCGGAUAGGACCCUGGGAUGCAUGUCCUGGGGUGGAAAGCUUUUGCGGUGUGGGAUGGGCCCGCGGCCUAUCCGCUUGUUGGUGGGGUGAUGGCCUACCAAGGCGACGACGGGUAGCCGGCCUGAGAGGGUGACCGGCCACACUGGGACUGAGAUACGGCCCAGACUCCUACGGGAGGCAGCAGUGGGGAAUAUUGCACAAUAGGCGCAAGCCUGAUGCAGCGACGCCGCGUGAGGGAUGACGGCCUUCGGGUUGUAAACCUCUUUCAGCACCGACGAAGCGCAAGUGACGGUAGGUGCAGAAGAAGGACCGGCCAACUACGUGCCAGCCGCCGCCGUAA